This 809-nucleotide ribosomal RNA is filed under the name uncultured bacterium. RNAcentral describes it as "bacterial SSU rRNA". It matches the Rfam family "Bacterial small subunit ribosomal RNA", at positions 8 to 806 of the family's 1533-position model. The record is from RNAcentral.
AGAGUUUGAUCCUGGCUCAGAUUGAACGCUGGCGGCAUGCUUUACACAUGCAAGUCGGACGGCAGCACAGAGAAGCUUGCUUCUUGGGUGGCGAGUGGCGAACGGGUGAGUAAUAUAUCGGAACGUACCGAGUAAUGGGGGAUAACUAAUCGAAAGAUUAGCUAAUACCGCAUAUUCUCUGAGGAGGAAAGCAGGGGACCUUCGGGCCUUGCGUUAUUCGAGCGGCCGAUAUCUGAUUAGCUAGUUGGUGGGGUAAAGGCCUACCAAGGCGACGAUCAGUAGCGGGUUUGAGAGGAUGAUCCGCCACACUGGGACUGAGACACGGCCCAGACUCUUACGGGAGGCAGCAGUGGGGAAUUUUGGACAAUGGGCGCAAGCCUGAUCCAGCCAUGCCGCGUGUAUGAAGAAGGCCUUCGGGUUGUAAAGGACUUUUGUCAGGGAAGAAAAGGCUGUUGCUAAUAUCGACAGCUGAUGACGGUACCUGAAGAAUAAGCACCGGCUAACUACGUGCCAGCAGCCGCGGUAAUACGUAGGGUGCGAGCGUUAAUCGGAAUUACUGGGCGUAAAGCGAGCGCAGACGGUUACUUAAGCAGGAUGUGAAAUCCCCGGGCUCAACCUGGGAACUGCGUUCUGAACUGGGUGACUAGAGUGUGUCAGAGGGAGGUAGAAUUCCACGUGUAGCAGUGAAAUGCGUAGAGAUGUGGAGGAAUACCGAUGGCGAAGGCAGCCUCCUGGGAUAACACUGACGUUCAUGCUCGAAAGCGUGGGUAGCAAACAAGAUUAGAUACCCUGGUAGUCCACGCCCUAAA